Long non-coding RNA from Pollicipes pollicipes, 411 nucleotides. RefSeq lists it as uncharacterized. NCBI's taxonomy places the organism in Eukaryota, Metazoa, Arthropoda, Thecostraca, Pollicipedomorpha, Pollicipedidae. The record is from RefSeq and is a predicted model, not a curated record. The transcript is spliced from 4 exons.
GCAGGAUGCCGCGCCUUGACUUUCAGCUACGGGUUGACGAAGUACAUGGCGUUUUAAAUCCAUUGAAAAAUACAGGCGAUUUUAAACGUACCAUGCCUCUGUGUCAUUUGGUGCUGUAAGCAGGUGCUGUAGGGCAUCCACCUGACAUGUGAUGUAAUGGCAGAGUCUCUAGAUGCCAUCCAAGCUCAGCUGUCAAUAUUGCAGGACCCUCAAAGGAGUACUGUACACAAGCUUAUUGCCUUAGAAGAGCUGUGUGAUAGCUACAAGGAUGGCUUCAGCACUGAUGCCCUUGAGCUCAUUUUUGCCUCCUUGUCUUCCAUUAAAGUCAUCCAACGCAACAAGCUGCUGGACUGCUGCCUGCCGGCUGACGGUGUCUCGGCCCGGACCAUCGACCUGGCUGUGGCGCUGCUG